This 1537-nucleotide ribosomal RNA is filed under the name Escherichia coli. Its description in RNAcentral is "bacterial SSU rRNA". It matches the Rfam family "Bacterial small subunit ribosomal RNA". The record is from RNAcentral. Lineage: Bacteria; Pseudomonadati; Pseudomonadota; Gammaproteobacteria; Enterobacterales; Enterobacteriaceae.
AAAUUGAAGAGUUUGAUCAUGGCUCAGAUUGAACGCUGGCGGCAGGCCUAACACAUGCAAGUCGAACGGUAACAGGAAGCAGCUUGCUGCUUUGCUGACGAGUGGCGGACGGGUGAGUAAUGUCUGGGAAACUGCCUGAUGGAGGGGGAUAACUACUGGAAACGGUAGCUAAUACCGCAUAACGUCGCAAGACCAAAGAGGGGCCAUCGGAUGUGCCCAGAUGGGAUUAGCUAGUAGGUGGGGUAACGGCUCACCUAGGCGACGAUCCCUAGCUGGUCUGAGAGGAUGACCAGCCACACUGGAACUGAGACACGGUCCAGACUCCUACGGGAGGCAGCAGUGGGGAAUAUUGCACAAUGGGCGCAAGCCUGAUGCAGCCAUGCCGCGUGUAUGAAGAAGGCCUUCGGGUUGUAAAGUACUUUCAGCGGGGAGGAAGGGAGUAAAGUUAAUACCUUUGCUCAUUGACGUUACCCGCAGAAGAAGCACCGGCUAACUCCGUGCCAGCAGCCGCGGUAAUACGGAGGGUGCAAGCGUUAAUCGGAAUUACUGGGCGUAAAGCGCACGCAGGCGGUUUGUUAAGUCAGAUGUGAAAUCCCCGGGCUCAACCUGGGAACUGCAUCUGAUACUGGCAAGCUUGAGUCUCGUAGAGGGGGGUAGAAUUCCAGGUGUAGCGGUGAAAUGCGUAGAGAUCUGGAGGAAUACCGGUGGCGAAGGCGGCCCCCUGGACGAAGACUGACGCUCAGGUGCGAAAGCGUGGGGAGCAAACAGGAUUAGAUACCCUGGUAGUCCACGCCGUAAACGAUGUCGACUUGGAGGUUGUGCCCUUGAGGCGUGGCUUCCGGAGCUAACGCGUUAAGUCGACCGCCUGGGGAGUACGGCCGCAAGGUUAAAACUCAAAUGAAUUGACGGGGGCCCGCACAAGCGGUGGAGCAUGUGGUUUAAUUCGAUGCAACGCGAAGAACCUUACCUGGUCUUGACAUCCACGGAAGUUUUCAGAGAUGAGAAUGUGCCUUCGGGAACCGUGAGACAGGUGCUGCAUGGCUGUCGUCAGCUCGUGUUGUGAAAUGUUGGGUUAAGUCCCGCAACGAGCGCAACCCUUAUCCUUUGUUGCCAGCGGUCCGGCCGGGAACUCAAAGGAGACUGCCAGUGAUAAACUGGAGGAAGGUGGGGAUGACGUCAAGUCAUCAUGGCCCUUACGACCAGGGCUACACACGUGCUACAAUGGCGCAUACAAAGAGAAGCGACCUCGCGAGAGCAAGCGGACCUCAUAAAGUGCGUCGUAGUCCGGAUUGGAGUCUGCAACUCGACUCCAUGAAGUCGGAAUCGCUAGUAAUCGUGGAUCAGAAUGCCACGGUGAAUACGUUCCCGGGCCUUGUACACACCGCCCGUCACACCAUGGGAGUGGGUUGCAAAAGAAGUAGGUAGCUUAACCUUCGGGAGGGCGCUUACCACUUUGUGAUUCAUGACUGGGGUGAAGUCGUAACAAGGUAACCGUAGGGGAACCUGCGGUUGGAUCACCUCCUUACCUUAAAGAAGC